Molecule: ribosomal RNA, 700 nt
Filed under: uncultured bacterium
Lineage: Bacteria
Description: bacterial SSU rRNA
Rfam family: Bacterial small subunit ribosomal RNA
Source: RNAcentral
CAUGCAAGUCGAACGUGAAAGUCCUUCGGGAUGAGUAAAGUGGCGCACGGGUGAGUAACACGUAGGUGACCUGCCUUUUAGAGGGGAAUAACCAGAAGAAAUUUUGGCUAAUGCCGCAUACGAAGCACGGUUUUAAGGCUGUGCUUGAAAGAAUGCCUCUGCAUAUGCAUUCGCUAUUAGAUGGGCCUGCGGGACAUUAGCUAGUUGGUGGGGUAAAGGCCUACCAAGGCGACGAUGUCUAUCCGGUCUGAGAGGAUGAUCGGACACACUGGAACUGAGACACGGUCCAGACUCCUACGGGAGGCAGCAGUGGGGAAUAUUGCGCAAUGGGGGAAACCCUGACGCAGCAACGCCGCGUGAGUGAGGAAGGACUUCGGUCUGUAAAGCUCUGUUAAUGUGGAAAAAUGGCAGUUGGUCUAAUAGGCCGAUUGUUUGAUGGUACACGUAGAGGAAGCACCGGCUAACUUCGUGCCAGCAGCCGCGGUAAUACGAAGGGUGCAAGCGUUGUUCGGAUUUAUUGGGCGUAAAGCGCGCGUAGGCGGACCUGCAAGUCAGAUGUGAAAUCUCGGGGCUCAACCUCGAAACUGCGUCUGAAACUACAGGUCUAGAAUCUCGGAGGGGGAAGGGGAAUAUCGCAUGUAGGGGUAAAAUCCGUAGAUAUGCGAUGGAACACCAGAGGCGAAGGCGCCUUCCUGGACGA